GCUAGGUAUGGUGGUGGGUACCUGUAAUCCCAGUUACUUGGGAGGCUGAGGCAGAGAAUUGCUUGAACCUGGGAGGUGGAGGUUGCAGUGAGCCAACUUCGUGCCACUGCACUCCACCCUGGGCGACAGUGAUUCUCCUUCUCAAAAAUAUAUACCUGUACAUAAGUCGAAUCUGUGUAUAUGUAUGUAUGGAGUGCAGUGGCACGAUCUUGGCUCACUGCAGCCUCUGCCUCCCAGGUUCAAGCAAUUCUCCUGCCUU
This 259-nucleotide signal recognition particle RNA is filed under the name Saimiri boliviensis boliviensis (Bolivian squirrel monkey). Its description in RNAcentral is "Metazoan signal recognition particle RNA (ENSSBOG00000001578.1)". It matches the Rfam family "Metazoan signal recognition particle RNA". From Rfam's summary of the family: The signal recognition particle (SRP) is a universally conserved ribonucleoprotein. It is involved in the co-translational targeting of proteins to membranes. The record is from RNAcentral. Lineage: Eukaryota; Metazoa; Chordata; Mammalia; Primates; Cebidae.